CUUGUUCUCCUCUGCUUCAGUUUAUUAACCUCUCUCACUGCUCUCUUCUCACUUCCCGAGCUUUGAAGACUCUUGCGGAUAUCUUUAGAACCACUCUUAAAGGACUUAGUAUUGGAGGAUGCCAAGGGAUGAAACGGUGUAAAGAGUUCACUAACAGCCUGUAUAAGUUCCAGAAAUUGAACUAUCUCUCGGUUGCAGGACUCGAUUGUGUUAAUGAUGGUGUUCUUAGAGCCUUCUUUAUGUUCAGUUGCUCUAAUCUCACUGAUCUAUCUCUCGCUAAUUGCCAGUAAGUUACUCUUUUGUUGAGGCCUCGAAAAGACUCAAAUCGUUACCAAUGCUGGAAACUAAUGUUUUUUGUUUUUGGUGUUCUCUAUGGUAAACUAGUGAGUUGACUGAUGACUGCAUUUGGCAUAUUGGGAGAUAUUGUAAGAAGUUAGAAGCUCUUGACAUCUCAGAAUUGAGGAAGUUGACUGAUAAGUCAUUGGAAUUUCUUACCGAGGGAUGCAAAUCUUUGAACUCAGUCAUAUUUGGAAAUAACAGAUUUAGUGACGAAGCUGUUGCUGCGUUUCUUGAAGUCUUGGGAGGUUCUUUUAACCAACUCUGCCUAAACAAAGUCGUAGAUGUUGGUCCAGAUACUGCCUUUUCGCUUGCCAAAGUUUGUAAGAGGUUGAAGUAUUUGGACCUCUCGUGGUGUCGAAAGCUCACAGAAGAGGACCUACGACGGAUUUUGAGUUGCUGCUCGUCACUUAAAUCACUCAAGCUAUUUGGAUGGACACAGGUACGAUAUUAGUUGAGAAACAUUUAGUUAAGCUCCCACUUGUGCUUUUUUUUGUUUAUUUAGUGGCGGUAUUGUCGUUGUAGGUGGAGAAUGCAUUUCUUG
Molecule: non-coding RNA, 880 nt
Organism: Camelina sativa (false flax)
Lineage: Eukaryota; Viridiplantae; Streptophyta; Magnoliopsida; Brassicales; Brassicaceae
Source: RefSeq, a predicted model, not a curated record